RNAcentral lists this ribosomal RNA (253 nucleotides) under uncultured bacterium. Its description in RNAcentral is "partial 16S ribosomal RNA". It matches the Rfam family "Bacterial small subunit ribosomal RNA", at positions 524 to 776 of the family's 1533-position model. The record is from RNAcentral.
UACGAAGGGUGCAAGCGUUAUUCGGAUUUAUUGGGCGUAAAGGGUUCGUAGGCGGAAAGAUAAGUUGAGUGUGAAAGUCCUGGGCUCAACCCAGGAAGUGCAUUCAAAACUGUUUUUCUUGAGUGUUGGAGAGGGUGAUGGAAUUGCUGGUGUAGGAGUGACAUCCGUAGAUAUCAGCAGGAACACCGAAGGCGAAAGCAGUCACCUGGCCAAACACUGACGCUGAUGAACGAAAGCGUGGGGAGCAAACAGG